Molecule: long non-coding RNA, 432 nt
Filed under: Paramuricea clavata
Lineage: Eukaryota; Metazoa; Cnidaria; Anthozoa; Malacalcyonacea; Plexauridae
Source: RNAcentral
CGGCAUUUUUGUUGUUUCGCUAUACUUUCCGCUUUAAAAGAGUAAUAUUGAAGCAUGUACUGGUCUAAUUAUUUUAAAAACAUGCCUAAGCCACGACAAAGUAUUCAAGGUAAAUGUUUUUCGUCUUUGUUUUGUAUUUUUUUACAUUUGUAGCUACGAAAUUGGCGUCCCCAAUUUUAACGAAAUUUGGGAUGCAUUUUUCACAGUUUAGUGCUUGAAAUAUUUGCUAAAAUUGACUGGGAAUACUUAGAAAUUUCAUCGUAGAAUGGCGUAGUUAUAUUUAUUUGCUCUUUGACUAAAAUGUUUAGCUGUAUUAUUGCUAAACAUGCCGUUUUUGAGAAUUUGGUUUGCAACUAGGUUUCAACAUCCAACCACGCCAUCAGCCCAUUGAAAACAUUAGGUCACGUCAGCUAGUUUCCUAUCCAUUUAUUU